This 253-nucleotide ribosomal RNA is filed under the name uncultured bacterium. RNAcentral's name for it is "partial 16S ribosomal RNA". It matches the Rfam family "Bacterial small subunit ribosomal RNA", at positions 524 to 776 of the family's 1533-position model. The record is from RNAcentral.
UACGGAGGGUGCAAGCGUUAUCCGGAUUCACUGGGUUUAAAGGGUGCGUAGGUGGCGUGGUAAGUCAGUGGUGAAAUCUCCAAGCUUAACUUGGAAACUGCCGUUGAUACUAUCAUUCUUGAAUAUCGUGGAGGUAAGCGGAAUAUGUCAUGUAGCGGUGAAGUGCUUAGAUAUGACAUAGAACACCGAUUGCGAAGGCAGCUUGCUACACGAUCAUUGACACUGAGGCACGAAAGCGUGGGGAUCAAACAGG